GCUCGGAUGGUGAAAUUGGCAUACACACCUGACUUAGGAUCAGACGCCUAACGGCAUGAGGGUUCGAGUCCCUCUCCGAGCA
Molecule: transfer RNA, 82 nt
Filed under: Clostridia bacterium
Lineage: Bacteria; Bacillati; Bacillota; Clostridia
Description: tRNA-Leu
Rfam family: tRNA
About the family: Transfer RNA (tRNA) molecules are approximately 80 nucleotides in length. Their secondary structure includes four short double-helical elements and three loops (D, anti-codon, and T loops).
Source: RNAcentral